UAUUAUUGAUUAAAAGUGAUUGGAUAAUAAAUUUAUUAGUUUCCAAGUACUCUUUUAAAUGAAGGUGGCUUUUUUUUUAAAGGUUAAUAAACCAUCGUAAAAGAUUCUCUACAAUAGUGAUUUUGUGUUUCACUAUUAUGUAAUCGUCGCAACCAGCUUUUUGUAACAAUAAUUAGUGUCGCUAAAGGCCCUAUCUUUUGUAGUAAUUAAUUAGGUGUUCAAUGGCUCAUUUUUGUCUCCUCUCCAUCUUUCUCGACCAUCAUCACUCAAGAGUCAAGUGUUAACUGCACUCAAAAGAUUAUUUUCAAAAGUCAUUUUAUCCUAAGUAUGACUUAUAUAUAAAAAUUUUAAACCUUUAGUUCUUUUUUAAUUUUAUAAAAAUAUCAGGGACUGCCAUAUAGUUAAGCCACAAAAAGACAAAAGUUAUGGAAAGUUGCAGCAAUUGCAACGUUGUUUUAUCCUCAAAUUUAAAAUAGCUCUCGAACUUUGACUAUUUCGUAAAACUUUUCCAUUAAAUUUCAACUGACUCAUACUUAUAAUUUUUUUUAUUUGUAAAAUA
This 559-nucleotide long non-coding RNA is filed under the name Citrus x clementina. Its description in RNAcentral is "Citrus clementina (C. clementina) long non-coding RNA (CCLE_LNC003500)". Lineage: Eukaryota; Viridiplantae; Streptophyta; Magnoliopsida; Sapindales; Rutaceae. The record is from RNAcentral.